GUGCCCUUGGUGUAUGGUAACACAUGUCUUCAUGGUAUCAUUGCUCACAAGGUACUUAAUUCAAGACGAGUCCGGGGUUCGACUCCCCGAGGGCGUA
Mycena olivaceomarginata is the source of this 97-nucleotide non-coding RNA. The record is from the annotation of a GenBank genome assembly. NCBI's taxonomy places the organism in Eukaryota, Fungi, Basidiomycota, Agaricomycetes, Agaricales, Mycenaceae.